GACGAACGCUGGCGGCGUGCCUAAUACAUGCAAGUCGAACGCUUCUUUCCUCCCGAGUGCUUGCACUCAAUUGGAAAGAGGAGUGGCGGACGGGUGAGUAACACGUGGGUAACCUACCCAUCAGAGGGGGAUAACACUUGGAAACAGGUGCUAAUACCGCAUAACAGUUUAUGCCGCAUGGCAUAAGAGUGAAAGGCGCUUUCGGGUGUCGCUGACGGAUGGACCCGCGGUGCAUUAGCUAGUUGGUGAGGUAACGGCUCACCAAGGCCACGAUGCAUAGCCGACCUGAGAGGGUGAUCGGCCACACUGGGACUGAGACACGGCCCAGACUCCUACGGGAGGCAGCAGUAGGGAAUCUUCGGCAAUGGACGAAAGUCUGACCGAGCAACGCCGCGUGAGUGAAGAAGGUUUUCGGAUCGUAAAACUCUGUUGUUAGAGAAGAACAAGG
This 448-nucleotide ribosomal RNA is filed under the name Enterococcus faecalis. Its description in RNAcentral is "bacterial SSU rRNA". It matches the Rfam family "Bacterial small subunit ribosomal RNA", at positions 28 to 454 of the family's 1533-position model. The record is from RNAcentral. Lineage: Bacteria; Bacillati; Bacillota; Bacilli; Lactobacillales; Enterococcaceae.